This 207-nucleotide ribosomal RNA is filed under the name uncultured bacterium. RNAcentral's name for it is "partial 16S ribosomal RNA". It matches the Rfam family "Bacterial small subunit ribosomal RNA", at positions 568 to 774 of the family's 1533-position model. The record is from RNAcentral.
UCCGCAGGCGGUCAUAUAAGUGUAAGGUGAAAUCUUUCGGCUCAACCGAAAAACUGCCUUUCAAACUAUAUGACUAGAGGAUGGAAGAGGAGAGUGGAACUGCUAGUGUAAAGGUGAAAUUUGUGGAUAUUAGCAGGAACGCCCGUGGAGAAAUCGACUCUCUGGUCCAUAUCUGACGCUCAGGGACGAAAGCUAGGGGAGCGAACA